AUACGUAGGUGACAAGCGUUAUCCGGAUUUACUGGGCGUAAAGGGCGUGUAGGCGGUCUUGCAAGUCAGAAGUGAAAUUCCUGAGCUCAACUCGGGCGCUGCUUCUGAAACUGCAGGACUUGAGUGCUGGAGGGGAUAGCGGAAUUCCUAGUGGAGCGGUAAAAUGCGCAGAUAUUAGGAAGAACACCGGUGGCGAAGGCGGCUAUCUGGACAGUAACUGACGCUGAGGCGCGAAAGCGUGGGGAGCAAACAGGAUUAGAUCCCCUGGCAGUCCACGCCGUAAACGAUGAAUACUAGGUGUAGGGGGUAUCGACUCCCUCUGUGCCGCAGUUAACACAAUAAGUAUUCCGCCUGGGGAGUACGGCCGCAAGGUUGAAACUCAAAUGAAUUGACGGGG
This 397-nucleotide ribosomal RNA is filed under the name uncultured bacterium. Its description in RNAcentral is "partial 16S ribosomal RNA". It matches the Rfam family "Bacterial small subunit ribosomal RNA", at positions 523 to 918 of the family's 1533-position model. The record is from RNAcentral.